CCUUAAAAAAACUAAAAUAAGUAGUUUUAAACUUUUUCGGUCGAUAUAGGGUUCCGGCACGGCACCGUUGUCGUGCUCUGGCGCCAGCUCCGCCAUGCUCUGGCACCGGCGUGCUCCAGCGCCAGCUUCGUCUCCCAUGGCAACAUUUCCUCUCGGCCUGGCUGUUUUUGGUCAAUUUCUAUCAAUUUUACAUGGAAACCUGCAAAAAAUAGUGUUAGAGAGCCUCUAUCGAUCAGAAAAUGGGAAAAUCGAGACCCUACCAGCGGGGGGGUUCUUUGGUGCGGCGGCUCUAUCGUUCCU
Molecule: long non-coding RNA, 300 nt
Filed under: Carica papaya (papaya)
Lineage: Eukaryota; Viridiplantae; Streptophyta; Magnoliopsida; Brassicales; Caricaceae
Description: long non-coding RNA (CPAP_LNC003174)
Source: RNAcentral